GGUAACAUACAAAAAGUCAGCAGCUACGUGUUUGAUUAACGGAGAGAUAGACCUAAUGAGCAUACAGAAAGCAUAUUUAAUUGAAAAAAAAAUACAUUUACAAUCACUCGGGUAUGUACUGUUGAGACAUGAUCAAGUGUUCGAAUAUUCACAAGCAUCAGAACUUCCUCAGGACACUCCAGUUGGCCCCAGAGCGUCUUCAAGGUUGGCACACAAAUUGGUCCUCAGCUGUUGUUGAUGCUUCCUCUACAAAAUCCCUUUCUUCAUUUUGAUUGGUCUCAUGUAUGGAAUUUGAAAUUCCUCAGCCAAGUUAGAACUAGCAAUCAUGUUAACAAAUCUCAUUUUAUGCUUGAAUUCACAUAUAGAACCACUUGCACAUGCAGUCUUCCUGAAAGUGAUUUGCCAUUCAGCCUUUGCCAAAGGAGAGGACAAUGUCAAAGGUUGCAAAGGACUAAAACACCACAUGAGAAGAUGUCGCUUUAUAUCAAGAAUCCUUUUAAGAGUAUUAACAACGCGGAGCACAUGAUAAAUGCCAUUAGCAAGGAACUUCAGGAUGCCUUUCCAUAAUGACAUAGCUCAUUCCUGUAGUGUUUUGGGACUUUUUCCAGGUUUUAUGGAAUGCAGCUUCAAUCUACACAAGGAAGAUAGCACUGACUAAUUAUCAAUAAAUGAAGAUAUCCGAGAUCCUAGCAUCGCAAUUUACACCAUGAGAGAUAAGGUACAAUUGCGUAAACAUCAUUGACACCAAUUGCAGUUGGACAACAAUGAACAGAGACUUCAUUAGCUGGCUGAUGAAAAAGAAACAAACAAGCUCAAAAGAAGUAAGCAAUUAGCAACACUUUCCCUUUUUGUGUUUAGGAACAGAAUUGAAGUUAAUAAAAUUAUGCUGAAAAGAUGAAGUGCCUAAACUAUAAAACAUAAAGAUGUACUUGCUACUUGGUGAUUUUGCAAGAUCCAAUCAGCAAAAUCAGCAAUACAAGAUAGGUUGUGAGGAGGUCAAUUUCAACUAUACAAAUCCAAUGCCGCAUACAUGAGAGCUAAGCCUAUCAAAUCAGAACCCUAUCUAAGAACAUUUAUAGGAUAGUAUCACACCAAUAAACUGACAAAAAUGAGGAGAUUGUCAUCAUGCAUACUUGUGUCCUAAUUUCAAGUGAAAUUCCACAGCUCAUAGAGUGAGUCUUUCAUGGUACGACUAGCAGUGCAUACCUCCCCCUUCAGAGCAUCGUCAAGUUCAAGAGUGAUAUCUUUAGAAUGUGACUGUAUCAAGCAACACUGCAUCAAGGCAACAAAUAAAAAGUCAGAAACUAUGUGUUUGAUUAACAGAGAGGUAGAACCUAAUGAGAAUACAUAAAGCCUAUUUAAUUAAAGUAAGUACAUUUACAAUGAUUCAGGUAUGUGUCGUUGAGACAAGAUCAAAUGUUUGAACAUUCACACAAAUCAAAACUUCCUUUGGACACUCCAGUUGCCCCUAGAACGUCUUCAAGGUUGGCACACAAAAUGGUCCUCAGCUGUUGCUGAUGCUUCCUCCGCAAAAUCCCUUUCUUCAUUUUGAUUAGUCUCAAGUAUGGAAUUUGAAGU
RNAcentral lists this long non-coding RNA (1578 nucleotides) under Eucalyptus grandis. Its description in RNAcentral is "long non-coding RNA (EGRA_LNC005031)". The record is from RNAcentral. Lineage: Eukaryota; Viridiplantae; Streptophyta; Magnoliopsida; Myrtales; Myrtaceae.